CCUACGGGGAGCAGCAGUGGGGAAUAUUGCACAAUGGGGGGAACCCUGAUGCAGCAACGCCGCGUGGGUGAAGAAGUACUUCGGUAUGUAAAGCCCUGUCAGCAGGGAAGAAAAUGACGGUACCUGACCAAGAAGCCCCGGCUAACUACGUGCCAGCAGCCGCGGUAAUACGUAGGGGGCAAGCGUUAUCCGGAUUUACUGGGUGUAAAGGGAGCGUAGACGGCAAGGCAAGUCUGGAGUGAAAGCCCGUGGCUCAACCACGGGACUGCUUUGGAAACUGUGUUGCUGGAGUGCAGGAGGGGUAAGCGGAAGUCCUAGUGUAGCGGUGAAAUGCGUAGAUAUUAGGAGGAACACCGGUGGCGAAGGCGGCUUACUGGACUGUAACUGACGUUGAGGCUCGAAGGCGUGGGGAGCAAACAGGAUUAGAUACCCCAGUAGUC
RNAcentral lists this ribosomal RNA (440 nucleotides) under uncultured bacterium. RNAcentral's name for it is "partial 16S ribosomal RNA". It matches the Rfam family "Bacterial small subunit ribosomal RNA", at positions 338 to 795 of the family's 1533-position model. The record is from RNAcentral.